RNAcentral lists this long non-coding RNA (5097 nucleotides) under Olea europaea (common olive). RNAcentral describes it as "long non-coding RNA (OEUR_LNC011597)". Lineage: Eukaryota; Viridiplantae; Streptophyta; Magnoliopsida; Lamiales; Oleaceae. The record is from RNAcentral.
UAUCUCUCAGCAUCCAUGGAGGGGAGAAAAUUGGUGUUGUUGGUCGAACUGGAAGUGGAAAGUCGACUUUGAUCCAAGUGUUCUUUAGGUUGGUAGAACCUUAUGGUGGGAAGAUAAUAAUUGAUGGGGUCGAUAUAUGCAAGCUCGGCCUUCAUGAUCUUAGGUCUCGUUUUGGAAUCAUCCCUCAGGAACCUGUCCUCUUUGAGGGAACUGUUAGAAGCAAUAUAGACCCCCUCGGGUUGUAUUCUGAUGAUGAAAUAUGGAAGGUAUGAUUCCAUUUAUAAAGUGUGUAAAUGAUAUGUUGGAAUGUCUGUAAGCUCUCACGAUAAAGGUGAAUAACUCUGUGUGUUUGGCUCACAUUUUUCGAAGUUUUGCUAGCUCAUUGAUGCUCGAAAUUAGGAAUACAUACAUAACAUUAUAAACUCCCAACUUUAUUAUGAUGUCUAGAACUGAGUUACUUUUGGUUUUACUGAUUAAUGUUUCUUUGUUUUCUCUGUAUCAUUCUAGAGUCUUGAACGCUGCCAGCUGAAAGAUGUCGUGUCCGCAAAACCUGAAAAACUCGAUGCUUUAGGUCCCCACCAUUUUUCAUUAGUUUUCAUUUUAAUUUCUACGAAUGAUUCAUAUCUAUGUAACUAACACGUACCAGCACAUUUCUUUCACAGUGGUUGACUCCGGAGAUAACUGGAGUGUGGGACAAAGACAGCUUCUAUGCUUGGGACGAGUCAUGCUGAAACGCAGCAGGGUUUUGUUUAUGGAUGAAGCAACAGCAUCCGUUGAUUCUCAAACUGAUGUCAUCAUUCAGAAAAUCAUCCGUCAGGAAUUCUCAGCUUGCACGAUUAUUACUAUAGCUCACAGAAUACCAACCGUUAUAGACUGCGACAGGGUGUUGGUUAUAGAUGACGGUCAGUAGUUCACUUUGUUACUUUAUUACUAUCAUUCCCAAUUUUUUUCCAUUUUAGAACUUGCUUAUUCCUCGUAAGUAAACUUUUUAAGCUUAGCCAAAACCAUGCUCCAAGAACUGCAAAUGCUCUAUUACUGUAUUAUCUUAGUGAUUAUAACCAUUUUGAUUCUUAUGCACUGCAUUUUUGCAUUGUUAUGUUUUUACAGGAUGGGCGAAGGAGUUCGAUAGUCCAUCUAGUUUGCUCGAGAGGCCCUCACUAUUCGGGGCAUUGGUUCAAGAGUAUGCCAACAGAUCGUCGGGAUUGUGAUUGCUUUAGCUGCCUACAAUUGCUAGAGGUCAUCAAGGUACCAUAUUGGCUUUAACUUGCUCUGCCAACAUUGGAACACAAAGGGGAAUCUGAUUACUGUGCUACAGAAGUUCCCUCCUGUACUCCCCCAGCCCCAACACCCUUUGGCCAAAAUUUUCAUUUUCCCGAUACAUUCUAAUUUGUCAUCAUAUUUACGAGGAAUCUUAUUUAAUCUUGAUGGCGGGAUAUUAUAUUCUAAAAUUUGGAAAUAUCAAAGAUUUUACCCGCAUUUAUGCAUACCCUCUAUGGCUUGUUUAUCUAAGAUGGACUCGUAGUCGGAAUCUUGUUUAUUAUGUGUACUUUAGUCUAUAUCAGACGUGCACUUAUAAUUCAUCCUGUAAUAUCCAAAAUUCUCCAAGCAAUAACUUGCUUUAACGAAAGAAAAAGAAAAAGGCAAGAUGCUAAACGCUCAUCUUAUGCAAUCAGAGGGAAAACCCCUCUUUUACGGUUAACUGGUUUGCAACUCCGUGUUACUGUUGAAUUUAAUUUAGUUCUUGUUAGACUCUCUUUAUUUUUCAUACUCAUUUUUAUUCACACAUUCAUAUAACAAAAUAUUUUGCAUUUAAACUCGAACCUUUUCUCUACUUUUUUAACCACAUUCUACAAAAGCUCACUAUUUAAGACAUUAUUAUCCCAAUUUCUCUUUAUAAUGACCAUCAAACUGAAGCUCAUUUGGGUAUCAAAUAGGCCGGGCCAGCUUGACCGGGCACAAACCCGAAACCCAAACUCCACAUGAACCGUUAAAUUUGUUUUUGCAUUUUUUAAAUAAAAUAGUAUUUUAACAGAAAAAUUGAAGUAAUUAUCAGGCUCUCUUGGUCAAGCUCAUUUUAAUAAAAGAUGAUUAAUGUGCGUUAAAAAAUUUUAAAAAAAAUUAUGAAUCUCAUAAAAUUUAUAGUUAAAAUUAAUGGUAAAGUGUAAAACUACCGUCAUCAUUUAUAACAGUGUACAACUCUGUAGGAAUGUCAAAUGGGCCGAACGGCUCGUUGGCUCGACCGCCCGGCUCGUCGGCAGUUCGGGCUCGUCAAAUGACGAGUCGGAGCCGGGCAAGGGCUCAAUCCCAUGAGCCAUUUUGACGACGGCUCGUGGGCUCGUCAAAAAAUAUGAUUUUUUUUUUUAAAAAAAAGGUCUAAAAUGUGCAAAUUUACAAUUUUUUUUUUUUUAAAAAUCACGAGCUCUCGAGCGGCUCAGCCCUUGAGCUCGUGGCUUGUGAGCUCACGAGCUCGUUCAACGAGCCGAGCUCGGCUUGCCACGAGUCCGAGCCGAGCUCGUGGGUUAAAGGGUUAAGCCUACUCGGUUCGACAUCCCUACAACUCAGUUUUGGGCCUUUAGCACAUCCCAUGAUUUAUUUUAUGAUGCCGAUGAUAAUGCAUUGAAGCAGACAAUUUGUUGAGGUAAAUAAAACUCUUUUUCAAAAUUGUAGUCAUAUCUUGAUUUAUUAAUUAUCGAGAAAAAAAAUAAAAUAGCAUAGAAAAUAAUUCCAUAUUAAAAACUAACAUUUUUGCCACUUUUGAUAAAAAUUUUAAUAAAAAUUGAUGAAAUAUAUGAUUGAAAAGUUGAUGAAACUUCUAUGAAUUAAUUGAAGAGUUAUAAAAUUUUAUCAGCCAAGCACAAUAUUUAGGGUUUAUUUACUAUUCCACUAUUCCACUAAAGCCAGUGCAAACUUCAAGAAAGGCAGCUCUCUUGCAUCCACUAUUCCACUAAAAGAAUGUCUUAGUAGUUUAUUUACGACGACACACGAAUCAUGGUUAACACAGAGCUUCUUGAGGUAUUUGAACUGUUAAAGAGGAACUUUGAGUUGGGAUCCUAGUGUUCCAACCUUUUGACAUUAUAUAAAAUCAACUUAUAUUAUAUAAAAUCAACUUUGAGUUGGGAUCCAAGUGUUCCAACCUUUUGACUGAUAUUAUAUAAAAUCCACUGACAUUUUUAACAAAGUUUUUAAUAAAAGUUGAUGAAAUGUAUGAUUAAAAAGUUGAUGAAAGUUCUAUGAAUUGGUUGAAAAGUAAUAAAAUUUUAUUAGCCAAGCACAAUAUUUAGGAUAGUUGACCUGGUACUCCUGACAUUUAUCUAUUUUGUAAAAUAUCUCAUAUAACCUUCUAGUUUGUUGCAAAAUUUCUUAAAUUACUAACAUUACGGAAUACAAUAUUUUCAUCCUUUUUCCUAGUAAAUAGCGAAACUACGAAAGAAGAAAAUUUAAAAAAAAUUAAUUGCAUCCAUGACUCGAAUUUGUUUAAAAGGUGCAUAUUGAUUAAAACAGUUAUAUAUAUAUAUGAAUUUUAAUUUGUAUGAAGUAAUAUUAGUGUGUUAAGUAUUUAGAAUUCACGAGAGAGAUGUACAUAGAAUAAGUUUUUGGAAAGCGAAGAGAGUAUUUAACAUACAAAAUUAUCAUCAGCUGAUAUGAAGAACAAAUGCAUAUAUAUGAAAAUUGUGAUAGAAAACCAAAAAUUUAGAUAUUGGAAAUUUUGUUUCUCUACUGCAAAUAUGGAGGAAAUCAGAAAAUAAAUAUGUCAAAGUCCUUUUGGGAGGACAAAAUUGUAGCCUCUGUAAGGCAAAGAAUAAAUAGCUUGCCCUUGACGACACUCGUCAUAACAAGAACAAUAAGCUAUAAUAAUUUUUGCUUGCUUCUUAAUCUGUUUCAUCGAUAAAUUCGCCCACUCAGUGAAGGAGGCAAUCUCUUGCAGUGCAAACUUCGAGAAAGGCAGCCCUCUUGCAUCCACUAUUCCACUAAAAGAAUGUCUUAAGAGUUUAUUUACAAAGACACAGGAAUCAUGGUCAACACAGAACUUCAUGAGGUAUUUGAACUGUUUAAAAGGGAACUUUGAGUUGGGAUCCAAGUGUUCCAACCUAGACAUCAAAGUAUUUCUCAAAAGAAGCAGUCCCAUAUCAUGGAUGUAAUCCAUGGCUUGUUGGUGUACUUCUAAUUUCUCAGUGCCUCAAGGGAAUGGAUCUGUCAUAGCCAAUUCUAUUUCACUCUCAAACGUACAGAUCUCAGUGCAAACAUCGUCCUCAGCAACCAUGACCGGAAAGAAGCUACUGCUAAUACCAUGACCUUCAACCUGAAUAAUUUCAGAUAGAAUACCAAGGUUAGUUAGCAUGUAAAUUUCAAUGGCCACCAUGCCACAUUAUGUAGGAAUAAUGAACCAAGCUCUAUAACAUGGAAAUUUCUGUGGGUAAAAAUCAAGUCAAUGCAAGAAGCCAGAAAUAAUGAGUCUCAAUUAAUAUGUUUUAUUAUCAACUUUCCUGACAUACAAGUGAUGAUGUACAAAACUGAUGCAUGUGUUAAAUAUGAAAAGCAACUAUACACUUAAAAAAAAAAAAAAAAAAUAUAUAUAUAUAUAUAUAACAGCUGAAUAAACAUAACCUUGAUCAAGCCGCUCCCAGUAACUGCAGAAAUAGAAUAGGCAAAGUUUAGAAACUGAACAUUCCCCUCAAUGCCAUCAACAUGUUCCAGCAACUCACUAUAAGAUUUCUGAUAACAAUUACUUUUUUGGCAGGAUUCCUUACUUUCAAAAAAAGUUUUCUAUUUUUAAGCUUAGACAAACAUGCAGUCUGGAGUGGUGGAUAUAUGUUUCAGCAUCUCUAUUUGUGACAAAAACUGCCGUAAAUUUGAGCAGGUUAGGUAUCGGCCAAAUACUCCUUUGGUAUUGAAAGGAAUAUCUCUCAGCAUCCAUGGAGGGGAGAAAAUUGGUGUUGUUGGUCGAACUGGAAGUGGAAAGUCGACUUUGAUCCAAGUGUUCUUUAGGUUGGUAGAACCUUAUGGUGGGAAGAUAAUAAUUGAUGGGGUCGAUAUAUGCAAGCUCGGCCUUCAUGAUCUUAGGUCUCGUUUUGGAAUCAUCCCUCAGGAACCUGUCCU